Molecule: long non-coding RNA, 333 nt
Filed under: Helianthus annuus (common sunflower)
Lineage: Eukaryota; Viridiplantae; Streptophyta; Magnoliopsida; Asterales; Asteraceae
Description: sRNA HanXRQr2_Chr13g0598131
Source: RNAcentral
UUGAAAAAGAAUAAGUAGAUGGAUUGGAUGAGAGAAAGGGGUUUUUGGAGCAAAACCCUAGAUCGCAAGUGAAGGAUCGAAUUCAUGACGAAACUUGAAGAGGCUUUUACAAAUUCCUUCAAAAAGCCAUUUGAGUCGGAGCUGAAGCUUGGAGAAGACGCUGAAUCUUGGAAACCCUAGUAUGUGAAUGAAAGGAGCGGGUUGUUCUUUAUAUAUGGAAUGAACUUAUCGGACCCAAAUGAGUGAUUCGGAUCCCGUGUCGGGUUAAUUCAAGGGAAAUGAGGAGAAUGCAUAUUUUGGCGGGAAAAUGAGUUUUAGAGGCCCUAGGAGGAG